GAUGAACGCUAGCGGGAGGCCUAACACAUGCAAGCCGAGCGGUAUUGUUUCUUCGGAAAUGAGAGAGCGGCGUACGGGUGCGUAACACGUGUGCAACCUGCCUUUAUCUGGGGGAUAGCCUUUCGAAAGGAAGAUUAAUACUCCAUAAUAUAUUGAACGGCAUCGUUUAAUAUUGAAAGCUCCGGCGGAUAGAGAUGGGCACGCGCAAGAUUAGCUAGUUGGUGAGGUAACGGCUCACCAAGGCGAUGAUCUUUAGGGGGCCUGAGAGGGUGAUCCCCCACACUGGUACUGAGACACGGACCAGACUCCUACGGGAGGCAGCAGUGAGGAAUAUUGGUCAAUGGGUGCAAGCCUGAACCAGCCAUCCCGCGUGAAGGACGACUGCCCUAUGGGUUGUAAACUUCUUUUGUAUAGGGAUAAACCUACCCUCGUGAAGGUAGCUGAAGGUACUAUACGAAUAAGCACCGGCUAACUCCGUG
This 479-nucleotide ribosomal RNA is filed under the name uncultured bacterium. RNAcentral describes it as "partial 16S ribosomal RNA". It matches the Rfam family "Bacterial small subunit ribosomal RNA", at positions 28 to 507 of the family's 1533-position model. The record is from RNAcentral.